This 344-nucleotide small nuclear RNA is filed under the name Chinchilla lanigera (long-tailed chinchilla). RNAcentral describes it as "7SK RNA (ENSCLAG00000021600.1)". It matches the Rfam family "7SK RNA". From Rfam's summary of the family: 7SK was discovered as an abundant small nuclear RNA in the mid-70s but a possible function has only recently been suggested. Two independent studies have found that 7SK RNA binds the CDK9/cyclin T complex (known as elongation factor P-TEFb). Lineage: Eukaryota; Metazoa; Chordata; Mammalia; Rodentia; Chinchillidae. The record is from Rfam by way of RNAcentral.
GGAUGUGAGGGUGAUCUGGCUGAGACAUCUGUCACCCCACUAAUUACCAGGGUUGAUUUGGCUGAUCUGGCUGACUAGGCCCUUCCUCACUCACCAUUCCACACGCUCCCCCCAAGCUGUGUGCUCUGUCAGAGAGGAUGAUCACCUUGAUAAAGGAAGAUCGUUUCCUCAGUCAAGAGUAUACAAGUAGCUGCAUUACCCUGCUAGAACCUCCAAACUAGCUCACAAAAAAAAACCAGCACUAAAUUGUUCAGAGAUACAUACAUUACCAGUAAGUUAGACAUAAAGCAAGAAAUGAUUAUCAUAAAAAUUUAGAUGCUGGGCACGGUGGUACAUGCCUGUAA